GAGUGAACGCUGGCGGUAGGCCUAACACAUGCAAGUCGAACGGCAGCACAGUAAGAGCUUGCUCUUACGGGUGGCGAGUGGCGGACGGGUGAGGAAUACAUCGGAAUCUACUUUUUCGUGGGGGAUAACGUAGGGAAACUUACGCUAAUACCGCAUACGACCUACGGGUGAAAGCAGGGGAUCUUCGGACCUUGCGCGAUUGAAUGAGCCGAUGUCGGAUUAGCUAGUCGGCGGGGUAAAGGCCCACCAAGGCGACGAUCCGUAGCUGGUCUGAGAGGAUGAUCAGCCACACUGGAACUGAGACACGGUCCAGACUCCUACGGGAGGCAGCAGUGGGGAAUAUUGGACAAUGGGCGCAAGCCUGAUCCAGCCAUACCGCGUGGGUGAAGAAGGCCUUCGGGUUGUAAAGCCCUUUUGUUGGGAAAGAAAAGCAGCAGGUUAAUACCCCGCUGUUCUGACGGUACCCAAAGAAUAAGCACCGGCUAACUUCGUG
RNAcentral lists this ribosomal RNA (493 nucleotides) under uncultured bacterium. RNAcentral's name for it is "partial 16S ribosomal RNA". It matches the Rfam family "Bacterial small subunit ribosomal RNA", at positions 27 to 507 of the family's 1533-position model. The record is from RNAcentral.